RNAcentral lists this ribosomal RNA (235 nucleotides) under uncultured bacterium. Its description in RNAcentral is "partial 16S ribosomal RNA". It matches the Rfam family "Bacterial small subunit ribosomal RNA", at positions 109 to 334 of the family's 1533-position model. The record is from RNAcentral.
AGGAAUGCAUGGGUAACCUGUCCUUGAGAAGGGAAUAACCCGCCGAAAGGUGAGCUAAUACCCUAUACGCUUCGCUUUUUUUUGAAAAGUGAAGGAAAGUCAAGCCGUGGGCUUGGCGCUCUCGGAGGGGCUCAUGUCCUAUCAGCUUGUUGGUGGGGUAACGGCCUACCAAGGCUACGACGGGUAGCUGGUCUGAGAGGAUGAUCAGCCACACUGGCACUGAGAUACGGGCCAG